CGCGUAGGUGGUAGUGUAAGUCUGGGGUGGAAUCCCAGGGCUUAACCCUGGAACUGCCUUGGAAACUGUAUUACUUGAGUCAGUGAGGGGAGGGUAGAAUUCCUGGUGUAGCGGUGAAAUGCGUAGAUAUCAGGAGGAAGGCCCGUGGCGAAGGCGGCCCUCUGGCGCUGGACUGACACUGAGGCGCGAAAGCGUGGGGAGCAAACAGGAUUAGAUACCCUGGUAGUCCACGCCCUAAACGGUGGGCACUAGGUGUAGGGCUCGUAGGGGUUCUGUGCCGAAGGGAAACCAUUAAGUGCCCCGCCUGGGGAGUACGGCCGCAAGGUUGAA
RNAcentral lists this ribosomal RNA (330 nucleotides) under uncultured bacterium. RNAcentral's name for it is "bacterial SSU rRNA". It matches the Rfam family "Bacterial small subunit ribosomal RNA", at positions 568 to 898 of the family's 1533-position model. The record is from RNAcentral.